Molecule: ribosomal RNA, 48 nt
Filed under: Pseudotomentella tristis
Lineage: Eukaryota; Fungi; Basidiomycota; Agaricomycetes; Thelephorales; Thelephoraceae
Description: partial 18S ribosomal RNA
Source: RNAcentral
CCUGCGGAAGGAUCAUUAAUGAAAUGAAUGUCGAGAAGGGUUGUAGCU